Molecule: ribosomal RNA, 254 nt
Filed under: uncultured bacterium
Lineage: Bacteria
Description: partial small subunit ribosomal RNA
Rfam family: Bacterial small subunit ribosomal RNA
Source: RNAcentral
AGGACGAACGCUGGCGGCGUGCUUAACACAUGCAAGUCGAGCGGAAAGGCCCUUCGGGGUACUCGAGCGGCGAACGGGUGAGUAACACGUGAGUAACCUGCCCUCCACUCUGGGAUAAGCCCGGGAAACUGGGUCUAAUACCGGAUAUGACUGCGGAUCUCAUGGUCUGUGGUGGUAAAGUUUUUUCGGUGGGGGAUGGACUCGCGGCCUAUCAGCUUGUGGUGAGGUAAUGGCUUACCAAGGCGACGACGGUA